GACGAACGCUGGCGGCGUGCUUAACACAUGCAAGUCGAACGGAAAGGCCCCUUUGUGGUUACUCGCUUGGCUAACGGGUGAGUAACACGUGAGUAACCUGCCCUUGCCUUCGUUUUAACUUCCUUCAACUAGGUCUAAUACCUGCUAGGUAUCCUUGCUGCCUGCUUGGGGUUGGAAAGCUUCGGCGGGUUUGGAUGGACUCGCGGCUUAUCAGCUUGUUGGUGGGGUAGUGGGUUACCAAGGCUUUGACGGGUAGCCGGCCUGCGAGGGGGACCGGCCACAUUGGGGAUGAGAUACGGCCCAGAAUCCUACGGGAGGCAGCAGUGGGGAAUAAUGCACAAUGGGCGGGAGGCUGAUGGAGCAAAGGCGCGGGCGGGAUGACGGCCUUCGGGGUGUAAACCGCUUUCAGCAGGGGAGAAGCUUGUGGUGACGGUACCGGCAGAAGAAGCACCGGCUAACUACGUG
RNAcentral lists this ribosomal RNA (465 nucleotides) under uncultured bacterium. RNAcentral's name for it is "partial 16S ribosomal RNA". It matches the Rfam family "Bacterial small subunit ribosomal RNA", at positions 28 to 507 of the family's 1533-position model. The record is from RNAcentral.